CCUGGCGGCCGUAGCGCGGUGGUCCCACCUGACCCCAUGCCGAACUCAGAAGUGAAACGCUGUAGCGCCGAUGGUAGUGUGGGGUCUCCCCAUGCGAGAGUAGGGAACUGCCAGGC
RNAcentral lists this ribosomal RNA (116 nucleotides) under Escherichia coli. The record is from RNAcentral. RNAcentral also lists the same sequence under 4 other names. Lineage: Bacteria; Pseudomonadati; Pseudomonadota; Gammaproteobacteria; Enterobacterales; Enterobacteriaceae.